AAUGUAUGGGGAAACUCUUGAUUCAGAAUAUUUUUUUUAUCAUCUGUAUGACCAUUUUUUGUUUUAUCAAUUUGGGGAUCGGAAUAUUUCCAUUUGAAGUCAAAUGGUUGUUCCCUUACCGCUAGAAAAAUUUUCCAAAAAUUUUGAAUUCAGUUCUACGUAAUGAACAUUUAAAUGACAUAUAGUUUACAAGUGGGAACAAAUCUUAUGUACAGGUAGCUAAACAAGUGUAUAUAGAUGUGAACAAAUGUAAUGUGAAACCAGUGUACACUACACUAAACUAAUUGUAAACAUGUUUACUCUACACGGCGUUUGGUGUGAACACGGCC
Molecule: long non-coding RNA, 329 nt
Filed under: Mytilus galloprovincialis (Mediterranean mussel)
Lineage: Eukaryota; Metazoa; Mollusca; Bivalvia; Mytilida; Mytilidae
Source: RNAcentral